This 460-nucleotide ribosomal RNA is filed under the name uncultured bacterium. RNAcentral's name for it is "partial 16S ribosomal RNA". It matches the Rfam family "Bacterial small subunit ribosomal RNA", at positions 338 to 795 of the family's 1533-position model. The record is from RNAcentral.
CCUACGGGCGGCAGCAGUGAGGAAUAUUGGUCAAUGGGCGUUAGCCUGAACCAGCCAAGUCGCGUGAAGGAUGAAUGUUCUAUGGAUCGUAAACCUCUUUUAUAUGGGAAUAAAGUGCGGGACGUGUCCUAUUUUGUAUGUACCUUAUGAAUAAGGAUCGGCUAACUCCGUGCCAGCAGCCGCGGUAAUACGGAGGAUCCGAGCGUUAUCCGGAUUUAUUGGGUUUAAAGGGUGCGUAGGCGGGCUUUUAAGUCAGCUGUGAAAGUUUGUGGCUCAACCAUAGAAUUGCAGUUGAUACUGGGGGGCUUGAGUACGUUUGAGGCAGGCGGAAUGCGUGGUGUAGCGGUGAAAUGCUUAGAUAUCACGCAGAACCCCGAUUGCGAAGGCAGCCUGCCAGGCCAUGACUGACGCUGAUGCACGAAAGCGUGGGGAUCAAACAGGAUUAGAUACCCGAGUAGUC